AUGAACGCUGGCGGCGUGCCUAAUACAUGCAAGUAGAACGCUGAAGGAGGAGCUUGCUUCUCUGGAUGAGUUGCGAACGGGUGAGUAACGCGUAGGUAACCUGCCUGGUAGCGGGGGAUAACUAUUGGAAACGAUAGCUAAUACCGCAUAAGAGCAGUUGUUGCAUGACAGCUGUUUAAAAGGUGCAAUUGCACCACUACCAGAUGGACCUGCGUUGUAUUAGCUAGUUGGUGAGGUAACGGCUCACCAAGGCAACGAUACAUAGCCGACCUGAGAGGGUGAUCGGCCACACUGGGACUGAGACACGGCCCAGACUCCUACGGGAGGCAGCAGUAGGGAAUCUUCGGCAAUGGGGGCAACCCUGACCGAGCAACGCCGCGUGAGUGAAGAAGGUUUUCGGAUCGUAAAGCUCUGUUGUAAGAGAAGAACGAGUGUGAGAGUGGAAAGUUCACGCUGUGACGGUAUCUUACCAGAAAGGGACGGCUAACUACGUGCCAGCAGCCGCGGUAAUACGUAGGUCCCGAGCGUUAUCCGGAUUUAUUGGGCGUAAAGCGAGCGCAGGCGGUUAGAUCAGUCUGAAGUUAAAGGCUGUGGUGCUAGGUGUUGGGUCCUUUCCGGGAUUCAGUGCCGCAGCUAACGCAUUAAGCACUCCGCCUGGGGAGUACGACCGCAAGGUUGAAACUCAAAGGAAUUGACGGGGGCCCGCACAAGCGGUGGAGCAUG
RNAcentral lists this ribosomal RNA (723 nucleotides) under uncultured bacterium. RNAcentral's name for it is "bacterial SSU rRNA". It matches the Rfam family "Bacterial small subunit ribosomal RNA", at positions 29 to 941 of the family's 1533-position model. The record is from RNAcentral.